AUUACUUUGGCAGAUUAGUGCAAUAGAUUUAGAAUCUUUUUAUGUAAUUUUGGUUACAGGUAAUA
This 65-nucleotide transfer RNA is filed under the name Eulichas sp. BMNH 840452. RNAcentral describes it as "tRNA-Leu". It matches the Rfam family "tRNA". From Rfam's summary of the family: Transfer RNA (tRNA) molecules are approximately 80 nucleotides in length. Their secondary structure includes four short double-helical elements and three loops (D, anti-codon, and T loops). The record is from RNAcentral. Lineage: Eukaryota; Metazoa; Arthropoda; Insecta; Coleoptera; Eulichadidae.